Molecule: ribosomal RNA, 497 nt
Filed under: uncultured bacterium
Lineage: Bacteria
Description: partial 16S ribosomal RNA
Rfam family: Bacterial small subunit ribosomal RNA
Source: RNAcentral
GAUGAACGCUGGCGGCGUGCCUAAUACAUGCAAGUCGAGCGAACAGACGAGGAGCUUGCUCCACUGACGUUAGCGGCGGACGGGUGAGUAACACGUGGAUAACCUACCUAUAAGACUGGGAUAACUUCGGGAAACCGGCGCUAAUACCGGAUAAUAUAUUGAACCGCAUGGUUCAAUAGUGAAAGACGGUUUUGCUGUCACUUAUAGAUGGAUCCGCGCCGCAUUAGCUAGUUGGUAAGGUAACGGCUUACCAAGGCGACGAUGCGUAGCCGACCUGGGAGGGUGAGCGCCCAGACGGGAGCGGAAACGCGGUCCAGACUCCUACGGAAGGCAGCAGUAGGGAAUCUUCCGCAAUGGGCGAAAUCCUAACGGAGCAACGCCGCUUGAGUGAUGAAGAUCUUCGGAUCUUAAAGCUCUGUUAUUAGGAAAGAACAAAUGUGUAAGUAACUAUGCACGUCUUGACGGUACCUAAUCAGAAAGCCACGGCUAACUACUUG